CAAAUCAGGUAGGACUACCCGCUGAACUUAAGCAUAUCAAUAAGCGGAGGAAAAGAAACUAACAAGGAUUCCCCUAGUAACUGCGAGUGAAGCGGGAAAAGCUCAAAUUUAAAAUCUGGCAGUCUUUGAUUGUCCGAGUUGUAAUCUAGAGAAGCAUUAUCCGC
Molecule: ribosomal RNA, 164 nt
Filed under: Panaeolus foenisecii
Lineage: Eukaryota; Fungi; Basidiomycota; Agaricomycetes; Agaricales
Description: partial 28S ribosomal RNA
Rfam family: Eukaryotic large subunit ribosomal RNA
Source: RNAcentral